RNAcentral lists this ribosomal RNA (491 nucleotides) under uncultured bacterium. RNAcentral describes it as "bacterial SSU rRNA". It matches the Rfam family "Bacterial small subunit ribosomal RNA", at positions 28 to 512 of the family's 1533-position model. The record is from RNAcentral.
GAUGAACGCUAGCGAUAGGCUUAACACAUGCAAGUCGAGGGGCAGCACGGUGUAGCAAUACACUGGUGGCGACCGGCGUACGGGUGCGUAACACGUAUGCAACCUACCCGCUAUUGGGGGAUAACCCGGCGAAAGUCGGACUAAUAUCCCAUAUUAUUCUUACCGGGCAUCCGGUGAGUCUGAAAGAUUUAUCGAUUGCGGAUGGGCAUGCGGAUGAUUAGCUAGUAGGUGGGGUAACGGCUCACCUAGGCGACGAUCAUUAGGGGUUCUGAGAGGAAGGUCCCCCACACUGGAACUGAGACACGGUCCAGACUCCUACGGGAGGCAGCAGUGAGGAAUAUUGGUCAAUGGGCGCUAGCCUGAACCAGCCAAGUCGCGUGAAGGAUGACAGAUCUAUGGUUUGUAAACUUCUUUUGCAGGGGAGUAAAGUGCGACACGUGUGUUGUAUUGCAAGUACCCUGCGAAUAAGCAUCGGCUAACUCCGUGCCAGC